This 72-nucleotide transfer RNA is filed under the name Camelus ferus (Wild Bactrian camel). It matches the Rfam family "tRNA". From Rfam's summary of the family: Transfer RNA (tRNA) molecules are approximately 80 nucleotides in length. Their secondary structure includes four short double-helical elements and three loops (D, anti-codon, and T loops). Further hydrogen bonds mediate the characteristic L-shaped molecular structure. tRNAs have two regions of fundamental functional importance: the anti-codon, which is responsible for specific mRNA codon recognition, and the 3' end, to which the tRNAs corresponding amino acid is attached (by aminoacyl-tRNA synthetases). tRNAs cope with the degeneracy of the genetic code in two manners: having more than one tRNA (with a specific anti-codon) for a particular amino acid; and 'wobble' base-pairing, i.e. permitting non-standard base-pairing at the 3rd anti-codon position. Lineage: Eukaryota; Metazoa; Chordata; Mammalia; Artiodactyla; Camelidae. The record is from Rfam by way of RNAcentral.
AGGGGUAUAGCUCAGUGGUGGAGAGCAUGCUUAGCAUGCACAAAGUCUUGGGUUCAAUCCCCAGUACCGCUU